UCAGCCUCCAGAGUGCUGGGAUUACGGGCAUGAGCCACCACGCCCGGCCUGAAUAUAUCAAUUUUUUAAGUUGCUUUUGGGAAUGUGAACACUGAGUGGCUACUGGACGAUGUUCAAGAAAAGACACUGGCACCUGCCAGGUGCCAGGCGCUGUGCUAGGCCGGUGACAGUGGCCGAUAGAAACCUGCUGUGAGCCACAAAUGGGAGCUGCAUCUGGAAUCUGACGUUUUCUGGUAGCCACAUUUAAAAAAAAGUAAAAAGAAACAGGGCCACCAUAACAAAAUACCACAGACCGGGGGGCUGAAACAACAGAAAUUGAUUUCUCAUGGUUCGAGAGGCUGAAAGGCUGAGACGGAGGGGCCGGCAGGCCUGGUUCCUGGUGAGGCCUCGCGCCUGGGCCUGCAGACGGCCGCCUUCUCCCUGCGCCCUCCCACGGUCCCUUCUCUGUCCCCCGCAUCUCUCCCCCUUCUUACCGAGUGAGGACACCGAUCAGAUUGGCUUAGGGUUCACCCUGACAGCCUCAUCUUGACUGAGUCACAGACUCAGUUAAAGACUCUGUCUCCAAAUACAGUCCCACUCAGAGGGACUUGGGGGGUUAGGCCUUCCAUGUAUGGAUUUUGGGGAAGGACACAGUUCAGCCCAUGACACAUACUAAGGGUUCCAACCCCGAUGUGUGUCACCCUCUGUGUCCCUUCCCAAUUCGGACCAGGCCCGUGUCCAGUGCUCAGUGGCCCCAUGGCGGGGGGCUGCUGCUGCCUGGGGCAGCACAGUCUCGCGACCAACAGCCCUGCCCUCCUGGGGCAUCCGCUCUCCUGGGGGAGGCAGGCGGCAAAGAAGUGAAGCCUUCGGUCUCCCUGGCGGCCCCGGGAGAGCCGGCGGGGAAGGGGCGAGCUGGGGCUUGGGCGGGUUCCCCGUUUCCCCCGCGCCCUUCCAGAGGGAGCCCGUGUGGGCGUGCGCACACACGUCCCCGUUUUUAAAGCCACAGAUGGUGAUAUUCCGUGCGUGCUCUUCCCUUCCUUCCUUUUCUCACUUGGAAACGUGUCUCGAAACAGACUCUGCAUCAGCACAGGUCCGUUUCAGAUGCUAACAGAUAAUUUGAAACACAGAAAAUCGGGGCGCGGCUGAGCUGGAACAACAGAGGCCGGAGCUUGACGCCAGCACCGGACCCUCGCCACGGCCCGCCGCUGCCACAAAAGCGAAGUCAAGUUCACGCACAGCAUCUGUGAACAUGCAACGACUACUAACUUAGGAGAGGCGUCAAGCCCUGGAUUUGCAGACUGCCAGACUCCUACUCACCGUCUAAGGCCCUCCCAGAAAAGCCUGCCCUGCGACCCUGCUCUGUGCUCCCACGGCCCAGUGCAGCGCUCAUCUCUGGACCCCACCAGGCUCUGAGACCCCGAGGCCUAGGACCCGGCAGUGCCAGAUGCGUCACCCAGGAACUAGAGAUGAAUCUCCAAGCAGAAGAAUUCCAAGUAAUUCGCCUUGCUCAGCCAGACUAUCACGGUCUACCUGAACAGUGAGUGAUCAGUCACCCCCAGAGCGGCCCCCUCGGUAGGAAGUGAGGAGAGAGGCCCUUGCUCUCUGCCAUCUUCUUCCUGAAACCCAUAAUCCCAGUCUAAUCUGGAGAAAGACAUCGGACAGAUCCCAGCUGAGGAAUGCUCUCCAAAACGCCUGAUGGAUACUCCUCCAAACGGUGGAGGCGGUCGCAACCAAGGGGAGUUUGAGAAACUGUCACGGCCCGGAGGAGCCUGAGGAGCAUGACAAUGACGUGUACCUAGUGCACUGGAUGUGAUUCUGGAAGACAGGAAGGACGCUAGGUAAAAACUAAGGAAAUCUGGGUAAUGUGAAGUGUAGACUUUAGUUAGUAAUGAUGCAUUAACGUUGGUUCAUUAAUUGUGACAGAUGCACAGUAUUCAUGUAAGAUGUUAGUGUUAAUGAUAGAGGAGAUUGGGUGAGAGUAUAUGGGCACUCUACUACCUUCAUGCUUUUUCUUUCUUUUUAAAAACGUUAUUACAGGUACAUAAUAGUUGCAAGUCUUUACAGAGCACGUGUGAUGGUUUGAUACAGGCAGACAAUGUGAAUUAAUCUAGUCCGGGUAAUUGGGGUAUUCACCACCUCAGGCAUUUAUCAUUUCUUUGUGUUAGGAACAUCCCAGUUCUACUUUUAGUUAUUUUAAAGUAUGCCCUUAUUGUUGAUUAUAGUUGCUUUGUUGUGCUAUCAAAUAUUAUUCAUUCUAUCUAACUAUUUAACUAUGUUUUCGUACCCAUUAACCACCCUCUGUACCCCCUCCCUGCUACCCUUCCCAGCCUCUGGUAACCAUCAUUCUGCUGUCUGUAGAAUCAGAGAGAACAUGGAGAUUUGUCUUUCUGUGCUUGGCUUGUUUCACUUAGCAUAAUGUUCUCCAGUUCCACC
Microcebus murinus (gray mouse lemur) is the source of this 2412-nucleotide non-coding RNA. NCBI's taxonomy places the organism in Eukaryota, Metazoa, Chordata, Mammalia, Primates, Cheirogaleidae. The record is from RefSeq and is a predicted model, not a curated record.